RNAcentral lists this ribosomal RNA (483 nucleotides) under uncultured bacterium. RNAcentral describes it as "partial 16S ribosomal RNA". It matches the Rfam family "Bacterial small subunit ribosomal RNA", at positions 28 to 507 of the family's 1533-position model. The record is from RNAcentral.
GACGAACGCUGGCGGCGUGCUUAACACAUGCAAGUCGAACGCUGAAGCUCAGCUUUUGUUGGGUGGAUGAGUGGCGAACGGGUGAGUAACACGUGAGUAACCUGCCCCCUUCUUUGGGAUAACGCCCGGAAACGGGUGCUAAUACUGGAUAUUUACUGGUCUUCGCAUGGGGGUUGGUGGAAAGGGUUUUUCUGGUGGGGGAUGGGCUCGCGGCCUAUCAGCUUGUUGGUGGGGUGAUGGCCUACCAAGGCUUUGACGGGUAGCCGGCCUGAGAGGGUGACCGGUCACAUUGGGACUGAGAUACGGCCCAGACUCCUACGGGAGGCAGCAGUGGGGAAUAUUGCACAAUGGGCGCAAGCCUGAUGCAGCGACGCCGCGUGAGGGAUGGAGGCCUUCGGGUUGUGAACCUCUUUCGCUCAUGGUCAAGCCGCAACAAUGGUUGUGGUGAGGGUAGUGGGUAAAGAAGCGCCGGCUAACUACGUG